UACAUAUUUAAGUCCCAAUGUCACAGAUUUUGAACUUGUGACCUCAUUUGAGGGGGAGCAAGGCAGUAAUCACUAUCCAAGUUGUGGUAGGUAUAAUUAUAGUUAUUUUUAACUAAAUAGUAUAUUUCUGGCCUUUGGACUUGUGUUUGAAGCUAUAAGCUAAGGAUACCUGGACUUGUGUUUGGCCUUUAGCGCGCCAUUCCUGACCACAUCAAAAGUUGAAGGGAAAAGUUGAUAUCAUAAUGUAAGAAAAGCUGAAGUUUUAACCCCUCAAUUCGAACGUUGUUCUGCAGUUGUAUCGGUUUGACACGCCUUCUCAAAAGCCUUACCAAAGCCGACUAUCUUUAAAUCUUUAUAGAAAAUGGAUCUCUUCACGGUACUAUUUCGCUAUUGAUCGUUCAGGAGCAUUUCGCCAUGCAAGGUGGUCCUGAUAGCUAUCACAAGAUAUUUAGCAGCCUUCUAGAAUUCUUGCUUUUUGAUGUCGAAGACUUUUCCUUUUUGCUGGAAAAGAAGAAAAAAAAGCUUCUUUUGAGUUAAAAGAGAAACUGGAGUAAUUGAAUUGGUUUUGACACCCGAGUAAUCUUAGAUAGGAUUAAAGGUUCUCAUGCUUGAUUUUGAAUCUUUUGCUGUGCGUGUCUUGCACCGCAGAAGAGUAUACAAACCAACUUUGUACCGCCGCAUGUCAUCCAUCUUGAAGACGAAUUGCUAUCUCAACUCUCAAAAAUAGGGAGGGCUAUAUUUAGCCUUCCGUCUUUUUGAUGAAUGAUAUGAUAGCUAUCCAGGACUAUAAAAUUUUUUGCAGAGCAAAACAGGCACCGCAGAGGAUCUCAAAUUCCUCAUGCUUAGAGGGCAAGUCUUUGUGCAAGCAAAAGUUUUGGUGGGUAUGCUAUUUGGAAAAUAGAUAUGCAAGGUCCUUAGAUGGUCGUGGGAGCUGCAACAUUGCUUUUCUUAGCGGAAACCUGUGCUUG
RNAcentral lists this long non-coding RNA (968 nucleotides) under Phoenix dactylifera (date palm). RNAcentral describes it as "long non-coding RNA (PDAC_LNC001456)". Lineage: Eukaryota; Viridiplantae; Streptophyta; Magnoliopsida; Arecales; Arecaceae. The record is from RNAcentral.